This 196-nucleotide ribosomal RNA is filed under the name uncultured bacterium. RNAcentral describes it as "partial 16S ribosomal RNA". It matches the Rfam family "Bacterial small subunit ribosomal RNA", at positions 1303 to 1500 of the family's 1533-position model. The record is from RNAcentral.
GGCUGAAAUUCGCCUUCAUGAAGCCGGAAUUGCUAGUAAUGGCAGGUCAGCAUACUGCCGUGAAUACGUUCCCGGGCCUUGUACACACCGCCCGUCACACCAUGAGAGUUGGGAAUACCCGAAGCCUGUGAGCUAACGAAAGAGGCAGCAGUCGAAGGUAGAAUCAAUGAUUGGGGUGAAGUCGUAACAAGGUAAC